RNAcentral lists this ribosomal RNA (842 nucleotides) under uncultured microorganism. RNAcentral's name for it is "bacterial SSU rRNA". It matches the Rfam family "Bacterial small subunit ribosomal RNA", at positions 99 to 956 of the family's 1533-position model. The record is from RNAcentral.
CGGACGGGUGAGUAACACGUGAGCAACCUGCCUUUCAGAGGGGGACAACACUGGGAAACUGGUGCUAAUACCGCAUAACGUGCCUUGAUGGCAUCAUCGAGGUACCAAAGGAGCAAUCCGCUGAAAGAUGGGCUCGCGUCCGAUUAGAUAGUUGGUGAGGUAAUGGCUCACCAAGUCUACGAUCGGUAGCCGGGCUGAGAGGCCAAACGGCCACAUUGGGACUGAGAUACGGCCCAGACUCCUACGGGAGGCAGCAGUGGGGAAUAUUAGGCAAUGGGGGAAACCCUGACCUAGCAACGCCGCGUGAAGGAUGAAGGCUUUCGGGUUGUAAACUUCUUUUAUUCGUGACGAAACAAAUGACGGUAGCGAAUGAAUAAGCCACGGCUAACUACGUGCCAGCAGCCGCGGUAAUACGUAGGUGGCGAGCGUUGUCCGGAAUUACUGGGUGUAAAGGGCGCGUAGGCGGGACUAUAAGUCUGAUGUGAAAUAUCCGGGCUCAACCCGGAGGGUGCAUUGGAUACUGUGGUUCUUGAGUGAUGGAGAGGCAGGCGGAAUUCCCGGUGUAGCGGUGGAAUGCGUAGAUAUCGGGAGGAACACCAGUGGCGAAGGCGGCCUGCUGGACAUUAACUGACGCUGAGGCGCGAAAGCGUGGGGAGCAAACAGGAUUAGAUAUCCUGGUAGUCCACGCUGUAAACGAUGGAUACUAGGUGUGGGGGGACUGACCCCUCCCGUGCCGCAGUUAACACAAUAAGUAUCCCACCUGGGAGUACGGCCGCAAGGUUGAAACUCAAGGAAUUGACGGGGCCCGCACAGGCAGUGAAGUAUGGUGGUUUAAUUCGACG